UCCCUGAUAGCUCAGAGGUUAAAGUGUCCACCUGCAAUAUGGGAGACCUGGGUUCGAUCCCUGGACCGGGAA
This 72-nucleotide transfer RNA is filed under the name Ovis aries (sheep). It matches the Rfam family "tRNA". Rfam says of the family: Transfer RNA (tRNA) molecules are approximately 80 nucleotides in length. Their secondary structure includes four short double-helical elements and three loops (D, anti-codon, and T loops). Lineage: Eukaryota; Metazoa; Chordata; Mammalia; Artiodactyla; Bovidae. The record is from Rfam by way of RNAcentral.